UUAGAGUUUGAUCCUGGCUCAGAUUGAACGCUGGCGGCAGGCCUAACACAUGCAAGUCGAGCGGUAGAGAGAAGCUUGCUUCUCUUGAGAGCGGCGGACGGGUGAGUAAUGCCUAGGAAUCUGCCUGGUAGUGGGGGAUAACGUUCGGAAACGGACGCUAAUACCGCAUACGUCCUACGGGAGAAAGCAGGGGACCUUCGGGCCUUGCGCUAUCAGACGAGCCUAGGUCGGAUUAGCUAGUUGGUGGGGUAAUGGCUCACCAAGGCGACGAUCCGUAACUGGUCUGAGAGGAUGAUCAGUCACACUGGAACUGAGACACGGUCCAGACUCCUACGGGAGGCAGCAGUGGGGAAUAUUGGACAAUGGGCGAAAGCCUGAUCCAGCCAUGCCGCGUGUGUGAAGAGGGUCUUCGGAUUGUAAAGCACUUUAAAGUUGGGAGGAAGGGCCGUUACCUAAUACGUGAUGGUUUUGACGUUACCGACAGAAUAAGCACCGGCUAACUCUGUGCCAGCAGCCGCGGUAAUACAGAGGGUGCAAGCGUUAAUCGGAAUUACUGGGCGUAAAGCGCGCGUAGGUGGUUUGUUAAGUUGGAUGUGAAAUCCCCGGGCUCAACCUGGGAACUGCAUUCAAAACUGACUGACUAGAGUAUGGUAGAGGGUGGUGGAAUUUCCUGUGUAGCGGUGAAAUGCGUAGAUAUAGGAAGGAACACCAGUGGCGAAGGCGACCACCUGGACUGAUAUUGACACUGAGGUGCGAAAGCGUGGGGAGCAAACAGGAUUAGAUACCCUGGUAGUCCACGCCGUAAACGAUGUCAACCUAGCCGUUGGGAGCCUUGAGCUCUUAGUGGCGCAGCUAACGCAUUAAGUUGACCGCCUGGGGAGUACGGCCGC
This 890-nucleotide ribosomal RNA is filed under the name uncultured bacterium. Its description in RNAcentral is "bacterial SSU rRNA". It matches the Rfam family "Bacterial small subunit ribosomal RNA", at positions 1 to 889 of the family's 1533-position model. The record is from RNAcentral.